RNAcentral lists this ribosomal RNA (254 nucleotides) under uncultured bacterium. Its description in RNAcentral is "partial 16S ribosomal RNA". It matches the Rfam family "Bacterial small subunit ribosomal RNA", at positions 524 to 776 of the family's 1533-position model. The record is from RNAcentral.
UACGGGGGGAGCAAGCGUUGUUCGGAUUUACUGGGCGUAAAGGGCGCGUAGGUGGCCACCGCAAGUCGACUGUGAAAUCUCCGGGCUUAACCCGGAAAGGUCAGCCGAUACUGCGGGGCUAGAGUGCAGAAGGGGCAACUGGAAUUCUCGGUGUAGCGGUGAAAUGCGUAGAUAUCGAGAGGAACACCUGCGGCGAAGGCGGGUUGCUGGGCUGACACUGACGCUGAUGCGCGAAAGCUAGGGGAGCGAACGGG